GUCACUGUAACUCAGCGGAUAGAGUGCCUGCCUCCGAAGCAGGUGGUCGUCGGUUCAAUUCCGAUCAGUGACG
This 73-nucleotide transfer RNA is filed under the name Lachnospiraceae bacterium. RNAcentral's name for it is "tRNA-Arg". It matches the Rfam family "tRNA". Rfam says of the family: Transfer RNA (tRNA) molecules are approximately 80 nucleotides in length. Their secondary structure includes four short double-helical elements and three loops (D, anti-codon, and T loops). RNAcentral also lists the same sequence under 1 other name. The record is from RNAcentral. Lineage: Bacteria; Bacillati; Bacillota; Clostridia; Lachnospirales; Lachnospiraceae.